UCUGCACCAUCCACUUAAUUUUUUUUUACCGUCCUGGAUGAAUUGCACAGCAGUGGAAUAUUUCUUCGUGCUGUGUUGAGAGAAGUAGGAAAUAGUUUUAUAUUUAGCAGGAACGCCAAGCCGUAAACAUGGGGGAAACCAGAUUACCGCGUCAUAUGUUUUUAUGGAGUAUGGCAAUUAUUUACAUGUUUGCUUUUGCAUCCCUCUAUGUUCAGAUACCAGGUCUCUAUGGCAAUGAGGGGGUCCUGCCUGUGCGCCUGGUGGAGCCCCGUGUGGACGGCUCCAGGCCAGUGUUGGAGCAGAUACAUGCCCACCCCUCCCUGCUGUGGCUGGGGCCCCGGCUGGACCUGGACGCCCAGCAGGCAAUGGAGCUGCUCUGCCUGGCGGGGGCGCUCUUAGCCCUGGGAGCAGCCCUACUGGAGCCCCUCCGAGACAGCCUGGUGUUCUUCUGCCUCUGGGCCCUCUACCUCUCCCUCUGUCAGGUGGGUCAAGACUUUCUGCGUUUUCAGUGGGACAGUCUGCUGUUGGAGGCUGGCUUCCUGACCGUGCUCGUCGCGCCGCUCAACCUCCUGCGGUGGCGCUCGGCAUUCCGUCAGCAUGACGCCGUGACCUUCUGGCUGGUGCGCUGGCUCCUGUUCCGCCUCACCUUUGGCUCCGGGGUCGCCAAGCUGGCCAGCCACUGCCCCAGCUGGUGGGGGCUCACCGCGGUGAAACACAUGUUUGAGGCCCAAGGCAUCCCCCUGCCCUGGUCCUGGUUCAUCCAGCAGCUGCCAGACUGGUACCUGAAGCUGGGGACUGUCAGUCUGUUGGUGACCGAGAUCGCUGUGCCCCCUCUACUUCGCCCCCAUCCGCCAACUCAGACUGGCAGCCUUCUACAUUCAGGCAGUGUACCAGGUGAAGUUAAUGUUCGUGGGGAACUAUGGCUUCCUCCCCUUCCUCUCCCUGGCUCUGACUUUCUCCCUGUUGGACGACGACCAUAUCAGCUACUGGCUGGGCCACGGCAAGAAGAAGAGCGCCAAGACCUGGCACCAAACCAUAAUGUCAUUGGUGUUGCUGGCUGUAUUUGCUGCCAUCAUCUAUGGAACUAAAGUGCUCUUCACACUGGAAAUGGACUGGGAGGCCAAGACCAUGACCUCUAAAACCGCCUUCACCCAGCAGCAGUUUGGCAAUUGGUUGAAGCUUGUGACAGGACCCACUAUCUGGGUAGGAGUUCUCUCUCUCACCUGGGAGGUGGUGGCAGCCAUGCUGGGGUGUGUGUGUGUUAGAGGGUGUCUCUGGAAGCUCUGGGGUCUUGUCCAAUGGGCUGUCAUUGUCUCUGCUGCAGUCGCCGUGUUUGCUAUCAGUGUGGUGCCUUACUCGUCCAUGGAACAGGUGUACAGCAGUAAGAUCCUCCCGGAGGUGAGACAGGCCUACAGCCUAGUGGAGCGCUAUAGACUGGUCAGUGCCUACAGCCUGGACAGCAGGGUGGACGGGAGGUCAGAGGUCGUCCUCGAGGGCAGCAUGGACAAGAAUACCUGGACGGAGAUAGAGUUCAUGUACAAGCCGGGAAAUGUGGGCGUGGCCCCUCCAGUGGUGGCCCCCCACCAGCCACGGUUAGACUGGCAGAUGAGCCAGGCAGCCCAGGGACUGGCCGAACAGAGCCCCUGGUUCACAAGCCUAGUGCACUGCCUACUGCAGGGCAAUAAGGAUGUGGUGAGACUGAUCCAGACAGACUCAGCCCAAUACCCAUUCAGCCAGGCCCCCCCGGUCUACCUCCGAGCCAGCCUCUACCAGUACUGGUUCACCCAGACCGCACAGGACUGGUCUGGUCCUAAAGAGUGGUGGAGGAGAGACUAUUCAGAGGAGUUCUAUCCUGCAGUGCAGCUGGGUGACCCUACCCUAGAGGGCAUGCUCAACCAGCACGGACUCAAGGAGACGCUCCCGAUUCAGCCCAGUCCUGACUCUCCUCUGGCCCAGGCUCUGAAGCAGGUACGGGGCCACGUUCAGACUCUACCCGGCCACCUGGUGCUCUGGUCCCUCCUGGCCACUGUCGCCACCAUCUGGCUCUUCAAAACCCUGCUCUCCGGGGUCCUGGGGGGCCAAAAGGCUAAACCCACUCCGGCCGAACCCAAGGCCAAGAAGGCGAAGGCCCAGCCAGCAGUGAAAAAUGCCUCGGCCUCCAGUCUCAAAGCAGGGAGGGAGAAUUCUGAGGAGAGUAGACGGGAUGCUGACAAGAGCCCUAAGAAGAGGAAGUGAUGUGAGACUGCUGCCGUGGGACUUCCUGUUACGUUCUUGUUGUUGCCCCUUGUCUCGGGAUGGAGGGUGGAGAGAAGGGGUGUUACCUACAUGUAAAUCUCAGGUGUUUCUACAGUAACUACCAAUCCGACCAGCUCUUUCUACAGUAACUACCAAUCCGACCAGCUCUUUCUACAGUAACUACCAAUCCGACCAGCUCUGUGACUCGGAGACCACCACCGUGGCCUUGUAUUCAGUCAGUUCUCAUCACUCACUCACUCACUCACUCACUCACUCACUCACUCACUCACUCCCAUAUAUUGCACAUACACAAGCAAAAGUGUCUAUUUUCUUUGUGCCUCCUUCUGUCACCAUAUUCUCAGGUCCCCCUAUGGAUGAGUCUUCAGACAUGUCUACGGGCGAGUCCCUGGCAUCACAGUACAGUGCUGCUUUGUUAUGAGCUGUUUUUGAGCUUUGCCAUCAGUUCUUCAGGGAGCACUUUAUCUGAAUUCUGGGAAUGCAUUCAUCCAUUUUAACGGUUGUUGUCCAACAGUUUUAAUCUUGUGCUAUAUCUUUAAUAUGAUAUUCAGGCUGGGUGCAGUUAUUGUACCUCAGUGAACCCUUUCAUGGACUGCAUCAGACUUUUAUUUUAAAAUUUGAAGUUGUCAAGUGAUUCCAUGUAAUGAAAUCUAUACCCGGGCCCUCUAUCCCGACCACGAGAAACUGUAUAGCGACAUGGUCAAGAAUACUAUAUUCUGAAAGCUUUGUCCUGCUAAACCUUUUGCCUUAGAAAUCUGUGGUUUGCUGUUCAAAUGUCAAAAGCCCUUUGGUCACAUUUAUUUUUUUUAACAGCUUAAAAUGCAUAACUGCUCCUAAAGAAAUCUGUAUAUUCCACAUCUGUGUAUAUUUGAGAUGUAGUAUUACUUAAGCUUAGUGUAUUAGGUUCAAGCACGGCUGCAAAAUUACUGGGCUCUUAAGGAGAAAUUCCAAGCCCUAGGGCACUAUUCAGUCUAUCGCUGAGGCGGUACAGAUUGUGUGACUAAAAUGUAAAGAUACUUUUUACUGGUCAGUGUUUAAUUAUUUUUUAAUUUUUUAAAUCUUAGCUGUAUAUUGAAACCGAACACUUAGAUUUGACAAACUACAGAUGGAAAAAGACAAACGUUCAGUGCUCGUCAGAAACUAGACUUUCGAUCUUCAAAAUCUAGUUGAAAAGGUGUGCUUGUCAAUACCAGGGAAAACUAAGAGGUCUGCAUGUUAUGUUAAAGGUCAACAACAACAAAGGGACUGUGACUUGGAGCUUCAAACCCCGUUUUUAGAUUUAUGGGUUGAAUUAUUUGAGUGAUUUGACCUGGGCUGAUAGUUUCUAUAGGAACAGAGACCAAUGACCAACAUGUGGUGCUCUUUGUUUCUCCAUUUUAUUAAUGACAAAUGUAUAGUGUGAAAGAGCCAGUGGCUCUCUGGUAAGGAUCUCACCAAUUUAAGUAUGGGGGUUAUAGGGUCAGCUCCUGAGUGGCUGUGUUGACACUCAGUAAUGGUUGGAAGGCUGGUAGAUGUCAUGGGGGGUGAAUCCCUGGGGUCCCCUCCUACGAAGAAACUCCUGGGGGAAAGGUGGGCACUUCGUUUUUACAUUUAUUUUCAUUUAUAGACGACGUGCCCACUUACAGGAGUAUCUCCAUAAGCACUGCUCUUUGCUGUCUGUAUUACAGAGGGAACCACAAGAAUUUGCCCCCCCUCUGCUUAUGUUAUCACACCCUUCUGCCAAUGUCACCUUCAUGUGGCAGCCACUCCAAGUGGCCUUGACUCACUGACCUGCAGAGUCCUCAGUAGGCAACCGUGCCCCAGAGUUCAAACCUGUAAACCCAUGCUUAUGGGGCGAGAUCCUAAUGCCAGAGCCCUUCACCCUUAUGCUUUGCUUCAUAAUUUGACAUUGAGAGUUCGGUUGAUAUGUAUAUUUGGCUGUGGUUAAGUUUUCUUGAGUGUGUUGGUUGGAUGAGUGGAAAGAUUUGCUCAAGCAUUGCUUCAAAUGUUUUAUCAACAAAGACGGUUGCAUCUGGUUAUCUUCGUUUCAUACUAUUAAAGAUUUGAAAUUGUGGGUAAACCUUUUGA
Molecule: RNA transcript, 4320 nt
Organism: Oncorhynchus keta (chum salmon)
Lineage: Eukaryota; Metazoa; Chordata; Actinopteri; Salmoniformes; Salmonidae
Gene name: lipase maturation factor 2-like
Exons: 14
Source: RefSeq, a predicted model, not a curated record